AGAAUUGAUUUCCCCGAAUUUCCGGUAUUUAAUUUCCGUAAAAGCAUUUGGUCAAUGUAAAACCAUAAAAGAAGCUCCUUCAUUCCCGUAAAACAACUUACCAUGGAAAAAACGGAAAUUCAUUUUACGAGCCAACUGUUUGCCCUUCUUUACCUUUUAUCUUUUUCAUUCUCCGAUCAACUAUCACCAUCUUCUUCUCACCCACAACAAUUACUCAGCCCACAACAAAAUCAGCAGAUUUUGUACCAGCAAAAUCAAGUGAGGAGCUCUACGAUUCCAAGUCGUGAGUUUACUCAUCGUGUAAAGUCUGUAUCGGUGUCAAAAUUCACUUCACAUGAAGUUGAAGCUCUUCAGAGUGGUGGUAAUCAGGUUCUUACUGGAGUCCACUUGCACAUUUGGUUGAAAUUUUCCAAUAUGAGGAUCGACCAUUGAACCUGACAUAUCUUUGAUCAAAAAGGGAAAUGAGCUGGUUGGGAAGGUAGUGCGCAUGAUUCUCGUGUUUUAACUGAUGCACUUACAUGCCGAAGAGGAUUUAGUAUUCCAGAAGGUAAAUAUUAUCUUGUUGAUGCUGGAUAUGACAUCCGAAAUGGAAUUAUUUCUCCAUAUGUGGGUGUUAGAUAUCAUUUAAAAGAGUUCAA
Long non-coding RNA from Hibiscus syriacus, 638 nucleotides. RefSeq lists it as uncharacterized. NCBI's taxonomy places the organism in Eukaryota, Viridiplantae, Streptophyta, Magnoliopsida, Malvales, Malvaceae. The record is from RefSeq and is a predicted model, not a curated record. The transcript has 5 exons.